Molecule: ribosomal RNA, 253 nt
Filed under: uncultured bacterium
Lineage: Bacteria
Description: partial 16S ribosomal RNA
Rfam family: Bacterial small subunit ribosomal RNA
Source: RNAcentral
UACGUAGGGUGCAAGCGUUAAUCGGAAUUACUGGGCGUAAAGCGUGCGCAGGCGGCUUUGCAAGACAGAUGUGAAAGCCCCGGGCUCAACCUGGGAAUUGCAUUUGAGACUGCGUAGCUAGGGUGCGGAAGAGGGAAGCGGAAUUUCCGGUGUAGCGGUGAAAUGCGUAGAUAUCGGAAGGAACACCAGUGGCGAAAGCGGCUUCCUGGUCCAGCACCGACGUUCAGGCACGAAAGCGUGGGGAGCGAACAGG